RNAcentral lists this ribosomal RNA (441 nucleotides) under uncultured bacterium. RNAcentral describes it as "partial 16S ribosomal RNA". It matches the Rfam family "Bacterial small subunit ribosomal RNA", at positions 338 to 795 of the family's 1533-position model. The record is from RNAcentral.
CCUACGGGAGGCAGCAGUGGGGAAUAUUGCACAAUGGGGGCAACCCUGAUGCAGCGACGCCGCGUGAGUGAAGAAGUAUUUCGGUAUGUAAAGCACUAUCAGCAGGGAAGAAGAAAGCCGGUAUCUGACUAUGAAGCAUCGGCUAACUACGUGCCAGCAGCCGCGGUAAUACGUAGGGGGCAAGCGUGAUCCGGAUUUACUGGGUGUAAAGGGAGCGUAGACGGCUGUGCAAGUCUGAAGUGAAAGCCCAGGGCUCAACCCUGGAACUGCUUUUGAAACUGUGUAGCUAGAGUGCUGGAGAGGGAAGUGGAAUUCCGAGUGUAGCGGUGAAAUGCGUAGAGAUUAGGAGGAACACCAGUGGCGAAGGCGGCUUACUGGACAAUGACUGACGUUGAGGUUCGAAAGCGUGGGGAGCAAACAGGAUUAGAUACCCGGGUAGUC